This 498-nucleotide ribosomal RNA is filed under the name uncultured bacterium. RNAcentral describes it as "partial 16S ribosomal RNA". It matches the Rfam family "Bacterial small subunit ribosomal RNA", at positions 28 to 507 of the family's 1533-position model. The record is from RNAcentral.
GAUGAACGCUGGCGGCGUGCCUAAUACAUGCAAGUCGAGCGAACAGACGAGGAGCUUGCUCCUCUGACGUUAGCGGCGGACGGGUGAGUAACACGUGGAUAACCUACCUAUAAGACUGGGAUAACUUCGGGAAACCGGAGCUAAUACCGGAUAAUAUAUUGAACCGCAUGGUUCAAUAGUGAAAGACGGUUUUGCUGUCACUUAUAGAUGGAUCCGCGCCGCAUUAGCUAGUUGGUAAGGUAACGGCUUACCAAGGCAAUGAUGCGUAGCCGACCUGAGAGGGGUGUAGGCCAACACGGAAACGAGACCCCGGCCCGCACUCCAAGGGAGGGAGGAGGAGGGAAUUCUUCGACAAGGGGGAAAGUCCGACCGGGGCACCGCGGGGGAGGUAAUAAAGUUCUAGGGAUGUAAAACCUUUUUUAUAGGGAAAAAAAAAUGGUGAAGGUAACUAUGCACUCCGUGACGGUAACUAAUCAGAAAGCGCCGGCAAACUACGUG